Molecule: ribosomal RNA, 396 nt
Filed under: uncultured bacterium
Lineage: Bacteria
Description: partial 16S ribosomal RNA
Rfam family: Bacterial small subunit ribosomal RNA
Source: RNAcentral
AUACGUAGGUGGCAAGCGUUGUCCGGCAUUAUUGGGCGUAAAGCGCAUGUAGGCGGUUUGGUAAUUCGGUCGUGAAAAUGCGGUGCUUGACGCCGUAUGGCGAUUGAAACUGCUGAACUUGAGUGCGGGAGCGGAAAGGGGAACACCCCGUGGAGCGGUGAAAUGCGUAGAUAUUGGGAAGAACACCGGUGGCGAAGGCGCCUUUCUGGACUGUGCCUGACGCUCAGAUGCGAAAGCCAGGGUAGCGAACGGGAUUAGAUACCCCGGUAGUCCUGGCCGUAAACGAUGGGUACUAGGUGUGGGAGGUAUCGACUCCUUCCGUGCCGGAGUUAACGCAAUAAGUACCCCGCCUGGGGAGUACGGCCGCAAGGCUUAAACUCAAAUGAAUUGGCGGGG